AUCAAAUCUCAAUCAAACCCCUUCUUCUUCUCUCUCUCUACACUUCUCUCUCUCUCUCUUCAUGAAAAAGUUGAGGGGAAUGUUGUCUGGUGCGAGAUCUUUCAUAUCCCUUUGAAUUUCAACCUCUCCAGAAAUAAAAAAUUCUAUCUUUUUUGAAAUUUGAGUGAUCUCGGACCAGGCUUCAUUCCCCUCAACACCAAAAAUAGAGGAUGUUCAAACCCCUCUUUCUAAAUCUGAAACUGCUGCAAUGAAUACAAGAAGAGCUUCAAAAGCUACGGCUACCUUUGCGUCGGCCGGCAGUGUCGAAUCUCCGGCUGCCACCGCCUAUGUACAGAUGGAGAAAGUACUGAGAGAUCAGGGAGCUGGCCCCAGCACUGGAGUUCCAUUUUCCUCUUCCCUUUUGAAGCCAAUCUUCAAUUCUUAGCUACAAAUUAACAAAUGGAGAGGGAAUUUGAAUGAAGUAAGUAUAUAUGAACUUGUUGCCUUUUCGAUCGAGGUCACGUUGGAUUAAUUUAUAUAUGGUUUUUGUUGUCAUUAAUGCUGUAGUUUAAGUCGAUAGAUUAUGGUAAAUUUCAAUCUUUUUCUUGUAAUACUCUCCUUCCUAUCUAUGAAAUUCGAAUAUCAAUUUAUUUA
Molecule: long non-coding RNA, 633 nt
Organism: Momordica charantia (bitter melon)
Lineage: Eukaryota; Viridiplantae; Streptophyta; Magnoliopsida; Cucurbitales; Cucurbitaceae
Source: RefSeq, a predicted model, not a curated record